Molecule: non-coding RNA, 48 nt
Filed under: Trichobilharzia regenti
Lineage: Eukaryota; Metazoa; Platyhelminthes; Trematoda; Strigeidida; Schistosomatidae
Source: RNAcentral
AUUCAGUUGACGAGUCCCAAAUAGGACGAAAUGUGCCUUAUCCUAGAU